Molecule: non-coding RNA, 166 nt
Filed under: Ghiorsea sp.
Lineage: Bacteria; Pseudomonadati; Pseudomonadota; Candidatius Mariprofundia; Mariprofundales
Also listed under: 1 other name
Description: 6S RNA
Rfam family: 6S / SsrS RNA
About the family: E. coli 6S RNA was the first non coding RNA to be sequenced, but its function was unknown until recently. It consists of 184 nucleotides that fold into an extended hairpin structure with a large single-stranded internal bulge.
Source: RNAcentral
GUUGGACUGGCGUUGUGACUUAUAAAACUGAACCGAUACGUUUUAUAUGGAAGCCAAUUGGCUGGUGGUGUGCGUUCCCUUUUUUGGGAAACCUGAAACUGGCAAGCGGCAUCCCCCUAACAUACUUUAGGGUUCUGUUUUUGUAGGUUGCAACGCCAGUCCAACG